Molecule: ribosomal RNA, 459 nt
Filed under: uncultured bacterium
Lineage: Bacteria
Description: partial 16S ribosomal RNA
Rfam family: Bacterial small subunit ribosomal RNA
Source: RNAcentral
CCUACGGGAGGCAGCAGUGAGGAAUAUUGGUCAAUGGGCGGGAGCCUGAACCAGCCAAGCCGCGUGAGGGAGGAAGGUACAGCGUAUCGUAAACCUCUUUUGUCAGGGAACAAAGGCGGGGACUAGUCCCCGGAUGAGGGUACCUGAAGAAAAAGCAUCGGCUAACUCCGUGCCAGCAGCCGCGGUAAUAAGGAGGAUGCGAGCGUUAUCCGGAUUGAUUGGGUUAAAGGGGUGCGCAGGCGGCCUGUUAAGUCAGCGGUAAAAGCCCGGGGCUCAACCCCGGCGAGCCGUUGAAACUGGCGGGCUGGAGUUGGAGAGAAGUACGCGGAAUGCGCGGUGUAGCGGUGAAAUGCUUAGAUAUCGCGCAGAACCCCGAUUGCGAAGGCAGCGUACCGGCUCCACACUGACGCUGAGGCACGAAAGCGUGGGUAUCGAACAGGAUUAGAUACCCUGGUAGUC